This 2147-nucleotide long non-coding RNA is filed under the name Homo sapiens (human). Its description in RNAcentral is "HSALNT0315007". Lineage: Eukaryota; Metazoa; Chordata; Mammalia; Primates; Hominidae. The record is from RNAcentral.
UUUCAGGCACAAAGACAUGGGCCAUAAGAGCACACAGAGAAUGGCCGGGCACGGUAGCCCCAGUCUCUACUAAAAAUACAAAAAAUUAGCUGGGCAUGGUGGCAUGUGCCUGUAAUCCCAGCUACUCCGGAGCCUGAGGCAGGAGAAUCGCUUGGACCUGGGAGGCGGAGGUUGCAGUGAGCAGAGAUGGCGUCACUGCACUCCAGACUGGGCGACAGAGCAAGACUCCUUCUCAAAAAAAAAAAAAAAAAAAAAGCACCCAGAGAAAUUGCGACACCCCCCACUGCAGGCCAAGAGGAGUGCCCUCUGAAUGAAACCCACCUCAACGGCAGCUUGAUCUCAGACUUCCAGUCUCCAGAACUGUCAAACUUGUCGCAGCCAACGUCGCUGCGAGGGACGCUGCCUGGCAGGGAACAGGGGAAGUUGAGGAAGGCGGACCGGCGUCCCUGUUCAUCAGUGGGGAAUCUUGGGGAGACAGAGGCCUCCGAAGCGUGGACGCUCCAGCCUGUUGCCGCCGCUCCCAAGGCCGCCGUGGACCAGCCCUGGAGCCGCUAACACGAUUUCCCAGGGAGCCGCGUCCCCGCAUCACCCAGCAGGAGCUGCAGGCGACAGGGACGCUCUCGCCGUCCCGCCCGGUCCUCUCUUGCCCACUAGAAGGGCUUCAUGGAGCGGCUGCUUCCCCCUCCCAAUCCCAGGAGAAAAGGGGCGCAGGGAUAAAGGCAGAGGCUCAGGGACUAUACAGGAGUUUUUCUGGGGAAUGUUAAGGAGAAAGGUGCAAAACAGCUGAAGCUUUCAGGACUGGAUGGGGAGGAAAAAGGAUUUUAAAAAGCUUUACUGGCCGGGCGCGGUGGCUCACGUUUGUAAUCCCAGCACUUUGGGAGGCCGAGGAGGGCAGAUCACCUGAGGUCAGGAGUUCCAGACUAGCCUGGCCAACAUAGUGAAACCCCGUCUCUACUAAAAAUACAAAAAUUAGCUGGGCGUAGUGGCGGGCACCUGUAAUCCCAGCUGCUCGGAAGGAUGAGGUAGGAGAAUCGUUUGAACCUGAGGCAGAGGUUGUAGUGAGCCAAGAUCGCGCCACUUGCUUCAGGCAGUAGUCUGGGGGCGUAGAAAGGAAGGCUUGGGAGGAUGUGGUGGGCAGAAUAGAAUCCCCCAAAGAUAUGCAUGCUGUAAUCCUGGGAACUUGUGGAUAUGUUACCUUAUAUGGCAAAAGCGACUUUCCACAGGAUUAAAGUUAUGGACCUCGAAGCAGGGCGCAGGUUGGAGUGAAUGGUUAUCCUUGAUUACCCAGGUGGGCCCUGUCUAAUCACAGGAGUCUGAGAACGUGACAUUGAGAACCUUUUAGGUUAGGUCAGAGAGAGAUAAGGAAGAUAGAGAGAGAGAGAGAGAGAGAGAGAGGAGAGAGAGAGAGAGAGAGAGAGAGAGAGAGAGAGAGAGAGAGAGAGAGAUGAAAUGAGCAGGAUUUUGCGACCUGUUGAAGCCUUUAAUGGGGAGGUAAGGAGACUCAAGCCAAGGAAGGUGGGCAGCCUCUAGAAGCUGGAAAAGUGGAGAAAGAAUUCUCCCCAAAGCCUCCGUAAGGAAACACAGCCCUGCCAACUCCUUGAUUUCAGUCCAGUGAAAGUUGUGUGGGAUUUCUGCCCUCCAUAUCUGGCACAUAAGUUAUCUAUAUCUAUCUUAGGAUAUAGAGUAGGUGCUUAAUGCAUACUUGUUUAAUGGAAAAAAGUGAAUAAAAAUAACAGUUGGAUUAAAUAAAUUCACAGUAAACUGCAAAUGGAAAGUAACCCCUUCAUUCCUGUAGGGCUGGCUGUAGUUUUCUAAGCGUAUGUUUUAAACCCAAUUGGCUCUAAUGGGAGGAAGUCUGGGCUCACAGUGAAGUGAGGAGGGUCAAGAAUGGCCAGGAGGGAUCCUGAAUUUGGUCCAACAUGACUUUCCAGUGAGUGUGCCCUUAGGAGUCUGUGCCCCUCUGUUAUUUUUGCCUCUUCUCUUCCUCUCUCUGCUGGAACUUACAGCUUUUCUCAAAGGGUCCUAUUUUGUGCAUGACUAUUUCUGCCUUCAUAAGACAAAAAGCAGAGGAGGGCAGUGAGGGAGGAGAGUUCCAGAGUAGGCAAGAGGGCACCUGCAGGGCACCCGCUGAGACUCAGGGCAGAUGC